GGGGUUGCAGGUGGAAGGUGGGCCGCCUCUGCUCAGAUGCGCUGGGGGAGCCGCAACCUCGCCUCCCUGUGGCCCCCUCCCGUCCGAUUCCCCACUUGGUUCCCUGUUCUCAGGGCCAGGACCCCAGCAAUGACAGUGCCCCCUGUUCUCUAGGAUUCCCGGGCGGCUGAAUGACAGGAGGACCCCUCUGGGAGAACUGAACUGGAUUUUCACAGCCAUCACGGACACCAUCGCCUGGAAUGUGCUUCCCCGAGAUCUCUUCCAGAAACUGUUCCGGCAGGACCUGCUGGUGGCAAGUCUGUUCCGGAAUUUUCUGUUGGCAGAAAGGAUCAUGAGGUCGUAUAACUGCACCCCGGUCAGCAGCCCCCGGCUCCCCCCGACGUACAUGCACGCCAUGUGGCAAGCCUGGGACCUGGCCGUGGACAUCUGUCUGUCUCAGCUGCCGACCAUCAUUGAGGAAGGCACUGCGUUCAGGGUGAGUCCUGGGCGCCGCGCGGGCCUGCCGCUCUGGGCCCCGGGGGCACAGCUCCCAGUCUGGGGGCACCCUGGGGCUGGGCUGUCAGAGAUUUUGUCUGUGUCCCUGGUGAAAUGAAGCCAAGCAGAGCUGCAAAGAUGGGCCAGCUGGGCCUUGAAGCCGGGCUUCGAGAUGUCUCCUCAGUGCAGCCUGCCUGCUCUGCGGUCGUCUGCGUUUAGCCGUGAGUGAGUUUCCCGCGGGGCCGUGGACGCCCCUGGCAGCCUCUGGGGUGUGAACGGGGCCCCACAGGGGAGUUCCAGUCCUGGCCUCGUGUGGGCAGAGCAGUGCAGUGACCGCAGGGCCUGGGUCUCGUCUUCCUCGUGGUACCUGCAGCGGCUCACCCAGAGCCCUCGCCCCUCCCCCAGGUUCUUUCAUUUGUUGGGCACGUGUAGCCCAGUGUCCCCAGGAACCCACAGGAAGGAGAAGGCACACGCUGGACAUCAGCAGAGGGUGUGACGGGCACCGAGGGCCGGCCAGGAGGAGGCGGGCAGCCUGGACAGAGGCUGAGAGGCAGAGGCACUGUAGCGGGGGGCGGCUCCAAGCUGUCCACUGAGGCUGAGAUACCUAAGAGGCGGGGCUGGACCCCAGGGCCUCUCCCCCACACACUCACUGCCAGCCCCACCCAAGAGACUGCCUGCGGGGCUGUGGCCGCCCUGGUCGAGCUAGGGACGUCCCUGUGCUCCAAUGUCCUCACCCUGGGGGAGGGGCGUCGUGAGGACAGGCUUCUCUCAUCGUCUUGGGCGUCUGUGGAGGACAGGGUGUGGCCACACAGGGUGCUGGCCCUGCCCGUGGGUGCCCACCUCCGCUCAGCCAGAGUGCAGCUUGCAGGCCCACCCUCCCCUUGGAAGGGCAGAGCCAGGCCGCUGCUCCGGGCCUGGUUUGGUGGUGCCCUUCCUAGAGGGGGGCUGUCUGCUGCCGUGUCAGGUCCUGCGGUUUCUGUCGUCGGAAAGCCUGUUCCAGGGCCAGCGGCCUCUCCGGAGCGUGCCGUCCAUUUCUGUUCUGCUAGGGCCAGUGUUUGGGAAUAACCUCACCAAACCGGGGCUCAGCGCGGGGCAGGGUGGUGCGGGAGGAACAACUGACAGGCGCAGGCUGCCUUUCGUUUUUUUACUUUGAAACCAUGUACCAAGCCUGCAUGAAGCGGGAGCCCACAGCCGGGCCAGGGUUCUGAGCGCACGCACUCAGCCAGCAGCCGAGUGGAGCAGCAGGAACUGAGCAGCCCGGAGCCCUGCUCGCUCGCUCUGGUGCUGCCGCUGCCCUGCUUCUGCACGCGGUGCCGGCCGGCGCUGGAGCGGGCUCGUCCACCAGGCAGGCUGCCCUCGUCUGAGGGCGCCGGAAUUCACUGGUCGGGGCUGUGGGCAGCAGCGCUCCGUUUCCGGGGUGCAGCCGUCGCGGAGAGUGUGGCCGGGCCAGGCCCAGGCAGAUGGAGCGCUCGGUCUCAGGGCUCCUGUCGGAGAGGUUGGCGUCUUGUUCGCGGUGGGUUUCGCCUCGGUUUUCCUCCUUCUGUGCACGCCUUGGAGGAGUAUUUACCUUCCCUGCCUCGGAUUUCUGCUCCCAGCCCCCACCCUCGUGCCAGCAAACGCCUCCCUCCUGUCUCACUGCCGAGUCUCACGGGAGGCCUGGAGAACGCAGGUGCACGCUUCUGCUGGAGCACCCAUAGGCGUGAAGCUCGGGGCUGUAGGGUGCGCACCACACACACAUGCGCACACGCACACGCAUGCGCACACUCACAUGCACACAUGCACACACACGCGUGCGCAUGCCCCACCCUCCACAGACUGUGUGAGCUGUGUUGCUGUUCAGUGACGUAGCUGCUGUGGAGUGGCGUGGAGAGGCGUUCACAUACACACACACGCAUGCACACACACACGCAUGCACACACACAUGUCCCACCCUCCACAGACUGUGAGCUGCGUGGCUGUGGUGGAGCGGCAUGGGGAGGCGUUCACAUACACACACACACGCACACACACGCAUGCACACACACAUGUCCCACCCUCCACAGACUGUGAGCUGCGUGGCUGUGGUGGAGCAGUGUGGGGGGGCGUUUCCUGGAGACGUCUGCGGUGUUCCCUGAUGGUUGGCAGAGUGUCACUUCCUGUUCUGCAGGCCACACACGUGUCUUCUUUGGGACACCGUCGGGUGUCUCGGCUGCUGCUCCCUGCUCUGCAGGCGUCUGUCCGCCCAGCUGUGCAGAGCCCUGGGUGUGGAUGCUGAGUGACUUUCUUCACUCCGAGAGCCUCAAGCUCACUUUCCUGGUGUUUUCUUCUUGGUGAACAAAAAUUCCUUAGUUUAACAAAAUCCAGUUUUUGUCUUUCCCGGCCAGGGCUCCCGGCCUCCCGCGGUUGGAAAUCUGCUUCCCCUGAGAUGAAGGUUUGGUCGUGUGCCCCCGGGCAGGCACAGCGACACUGCCUCCAGGCACCCCCAGCCUGCCCGGGGCUGUCCGCGUGGAACCAGCGCCGUCCACGGGUGGGCUCUUUCCUGGUCCCAUUGCGCCCCGCCCAGUGCCCCAGUCUUCAUCCCACGUGUCGCAGGCAGGCGUCCGCGUCUCCAGCUUUGUUCUUUCCCAACGUCGCCCAGGUCCCCUUGGCCCUUUGCGUUCCCGGUGGAUUUGUCGUGUGUUCGUGUCCACAGAGGACCUGCCAGGACCUGGCUGAGACUGGGGUGGGGAGUAGCUUGGCCCAGGGGAAGUCGCCGUCACCUCGGCUGUAGGUGGUGUCUUGAGAUCCUGUUUCCUGUUUUCUUUCUGUGUUUUUGUAAGUUAUUCUCUGUAGCAGCUUCACUAAAUCCAGUCUUUGUUUCAGUAGUUUGCCGGUUCUCUGCCUGGCUUCAUCUUAAAACCUCAUCAUCAGAAUCACAGAAAGAUCCAGAAUAUAAGUCGCUGUCAGAUAGGUGUGGGAAGUGACAGCGUUCAGUUAACCCCACGAAAUUCGUGUUCACCGACUCGGGCGUCCUCUGCCGGAGGUGUCGAGUCUGUUCGCCGCGUGGGUCUCGGCCUGCCCAAGGUCAUUUGUCUUCGUUUCUGCGGACACUCUGGAGGUGCCGGGAGGAGGAUCCCGACGCGGCAGGGAAGCUUGGGGCAUUGGGCUUUCUCUGGGGAAGCAGAGCUGUCACGGGGAGAGUGGGUGUGCCGUGGACCACGCAGCCGUGGACGGCUGUCCCCUCAGAGCCACAGAGCUGUCGCAGGUGGCCAGUGUCUCACAGCCCAGCUCAGGGACAGCAGAUGAGAGAAGAGGCGGGGCUGUGCGAUUCUCUGACCCUGCUGUGUGUGUCCGUGCUGCCCGAUCCCCUGCCCGUCUAGCGCUUGGGCUGACCACACAGCAGAGGCCUGCUUCUCAACCACGGGGGCCGACGGCGUGCAGCGUGGGAGGCGGCUCCUCCACCACGGGGGCCUACGGCAUGCAGUGUGGGAGGCGGAUCCGGGGUGCCCAGGCAGGUCACGCAGGUGCUGAGCACUCAGGGGCUGGUGCCCCCCGCCCGCCAGCCCUGCCCGCCAGCCCCGCCCGGCGCAGGGAGUCUGACCAGCCUCUCAGCACGGCUGGGGCAGUUCAGGUGCAAAGGUCGGGGUUUUCUGUCUUUUUAAAAGAUUUUUUUAUAACUGAACAUUCUUUUAAAAAAAAGAUUUAUUUAUUUAUCUGUGUAUUUAACAGAGAAGGGGGAGAGACAGAGAGAAAGAGGUCUUUCAUCCACUGCCUCACUGCCCAAAUGGCCACAGCCGCCUAAGCUGGGCCAGGCUGAAGCCAGGAGCCAGGUCUCCCACGUGGCGCCAGGCCCAGGCACGUGGGCCAUAAUCGCCUGUUCCCCGUGCAUUAGCAGGGAGCGGGAGCAGAAGCGGAGCAGCUAGCACCAGAGCUGGGGCUCCGGUGUGGGAUGCCCGCAUUGCCAGUCCCGCACCACCUGGCCCUGCGUCCGUCUCUCUGUGUGAAAUGGACGACACGUGACCAUCCGCGAGACAGAAACUGAUUGAGCGAGCAGGGAUUGUUGCUCCCCCAUUCGUGGAGGAACGACACAGGACCCUGCGCUGUUCUUUUGUCUGCUCGGCCCUUCCCGGGUUUGCUGCUGGUUCUUCCCGGGUUGGCUGCCGAUCCUUCCACCUCCGUGGAAGGGCGGUUCCCCCUGCCACUUUCCCCACUUCCGCGGGGGAGCGGCACACCGCCGGCCGGCUCUCUCGGGGGCUGCACAGGUAUUCCUUCAGAUAGAUGUUCCCCUUAGAUGUUCCUGGUGCAUGUUGUCUCUCUCCUCCUUUAUAGUCCUCUUCCACCAAUCCCAACUCUGCUACCCACACACCGAGUACGCUGCUCUCCUCCAAUCAGGAGCAGGAUCAGCUCCUGCAGGUUAUUGGUUGAACUGGAGGCAGCUGUGUAGAAGUUGUUUACUCCUCUCCCAGCGCCAUAUUGUGGGAGAGCAGAUGCAUAGAAUAAGUCUUUUUUUUUUUUUUUUUUUUUUUGGACAGGCAGAGUGGACAGUGAGAGAGAGAGAGACAGAGAGAAAGGUCUUCCUUUGCCGUUGGUUCACCCUCCAAUGGCCGCCGCAGCCGGCGCGCUGCGGCCGGUGCACCGCGCUGAUCCGAUGGCAGGAGCCAGGAGCCAGGUGCUUUUCCUGGUCUCCCAUGGGGUGCAGGGCCCAAGCACUUGGGCCAUCCUCCACUGCACUCCCUGGCCACAGCAGAGAGCUGGCCUGGAAGAGGGGCAACCAGGACAGAAUCCGGCGCCCCUACUGGGACUAGAACCCGGUGUGCCGGCACCGCUAGGCGGAGGAUUAGCCUCGUGAGCCGC
This is a non-coding RNA of Oryctolagus cuniculus (rabbit), 5286 nucleotides long. NCBI's taxonomy places the organism in Eukaryota, Metazoa, Chordata, Mammalia, Lagomorpha, Leporidae. The record is from RefSeq and is a predicted model, not a curated record.